AUGCCACCUCCACCGCUACCACCUGCAUGCGCCCCGCCGGUGCUAGCCGCUCCACCUCCACCCCCGCCUAUCCCAACAUUCACGCCACCAUGCCCUAUAUUGAUGCCAAUGCCCGCACCUGCUCCACCACCUACGCUUGGGCCACCACCAUGGUUAGUAGCAGCUCCACCUCCAAGUCCGCCGCCUAUAGCGAUGGAGGUGCCGUGCCCGCCAUGGCUGAUACUCACACCAAAACCUCUGCCACCACCCUUGCCUCUGCCACCUCCGAUGGAGAAAGACUUGCUGUCAUUGAGGGUGUUCUUGUCCGCAUACAGGAGCCUUGCACCAGUAGGCGGGGGAAGUGAGAAGAACACUACUAGAAUUGAGAUGGCAAGGAAGCAAGAAAAAGAAGUGGCCAUGGGAAACUGA
RNAcentral lists this ribosomal RNA (408 nucleotides) under Triticum aestivum (bread wheat). RNAcentral describes it as "partial small subunit ribosomal RNA". The record is from RNAcentral. Lineage: Eukaryota; Viridiplantae; Streptophyta; Magnoliopsida; Poales; Poaceae.